CGUGCAGGCGGUCGGGUAAGUCAGAUGUGAAAGCCUUUCGCUUAACGAGAGAAGUGCAUUUGAAACUACUCGGCUAGAGUACGGGAGAGGAGAGUGGAAUUCCCGGUGUAGAGGUGAAAUUCGUAGAUAUCGGGAGGAACACCAGUGGCGAAGGCGGCUCUCUGGUCCGAUACUGACGCUGAGACGCGAAAGCGUGGGGAGCAAACAGGAUUAGAUACCCUGGUAGUCCACGCCGUAAACGAUGGGCACUAGGUGUAGGAGGUAUUGACCCCUUCUGUGCCGAAGCUAACGCAUUAAGUGCCCCGCCUGGGGAGUACGGCCGCAAGGCUAAA
This 332-nucleotide ribosomal RNA is filed under the name uncultured bacterium. RNAcentral's name for it is "bacterial SSU rRNA". It matches the Rfam family "Bacterial small subunit ribosomal RNA", at positions 568 to 898 of the family's 1533-position model. The record is from RNAcentral.